UGGGGAAUAUUGCGCAAUGGGGGGAACCCUGACGCAGCCAUGCCGCGUGAAUGAAGAAGGCCUUAGGGUUGUAAAGUUCUUUCGGUAUUGAGGAAGGCUGAUGUGUUAAUAGCACAUCAAAUUGACGUUAAAUACAGAAGAAGCACCGGCUAACUCCGUGCCAGCAGCCGCGGUAAUACGGAGGGUGCGAGCGUUAAUCGGAAUAACUGGGCGUAAAGGGCACGCAGGCGGUUAUUUAAGUGAGGUGUGAAAGCCCCGGGCUUAACCUGGGAAUUGCAUUUCAGACUGGGUAACUAGAGUACUUUAGGGAGGGGUAGAAUUCCACGUGUAGCGGUGAAAUGCGUAGAGAUGUGGAGGAAUACCGAAGGCGAAGGCAGCCCCUUGGGAAUGUACUGACGCUCAUGUGCGAAAGCGUGGGGAGCAAACAGGAUUAGAUACCCUGGUAGUCCACGCUGUAAACGCUGUCGAUUUGGGGGUUGGGGUUUAACUCUGGCGCCCGUAGCUAACGUGAUAAAUCGACCGCCUGGGGAGUACGGCCGCAAGGUUA
Molecule: ribosomal RNA, 547 nt
Filed under: uncultured bacterium
Lineage: Bacteria
Description: bacterial SSU rRNA
Rfam family: Bacterial small subunit ribosomal RNA
Source: RNAcentral